Molecule: ribosomal RNA, 541 nt
Filed under: Rudisullianassa sp. PNG-369
Lineage: Eukaryota; Metazoa; Arthropoda; Malacostraca; Decapoda; Callianassidae
Also listed under: 1 other name
Description: partial large subunit ribosomal RNA
Rfam family: Bacterial large subunit ribosomal RNA
Source: RNAcentral
GUCUGGUUGUUUUUAAAAAUCAGUCUGACCUGCCCACUGAUACUUUAAAGGCCGCGGUAUAAUGACCGUGCGAAGGUAGCAUAAUAAUUAGUCUUUUAAUUGAAGACUGGAAUGAAUGGUUGAACAAAAAGUAACCUAUCCCAAAGCCUUAAAUCUAACUUAACUUUUAAGUGAAAAGGCUUAAAUGAUCUUAAAAGACGACAAGACCCUAUAAAACUUUAUAUAAAGAUUAUAAUUCGAUAUUUGUUAGUUUAAUUUUUUUACUCAAUCUUAUGUAUUACGUUGGGGCGACGGAAGCAUAAUUAAACUGCUUUUUCAUUUUUUUUUUUACAAUUAUUUUUGAUUGAAUUAGACCCUUUUUAAAGAUCAAAAGAAAAAGUUACUUUAGGGAUAACAGCGUAAUUUUAUUUAAGAGUUCAUAUCGACAAUAAAGUUUGCGACCUCGAUGUUGAAUUAAAGUUCCUGUACAAUGCAGCCGUUGUAAUAGUAGGUCUGUUCGACCUUUAAAACUUUACAUGAUUUGAGUUCAAACCGGCGCAAG